This 253-nucleotide ribosomal RNA is filed under the name uncultured bacterium. Its description in RNAcentral is "partial 16S ribosomal RNA". It matches the Rfam family "Bacterial small subunit ribosomal RNA", at positions 524 to 776 of the family's 1533-position model. The record is from RNAcentral.
UACAGAGGGGGCAAGCGUUGUUCGGAUUUACUGGGCGUAAAGGGCUCGUAGGCGGCCAACUAAGUCAGACGUGAAAUCCCUCGGCUUAACCGGGGAACUGCGUCUGAUACUGGAUGGCUUGAAUCCGGGAGAGGGAUGCGGAAUUCCAGGUGUAGCGGUGAAAUGCGUAGAUAUCUGGAGGAACACCGGUGGCGAAGGCGGCAUCCUGGACCGGCAUUGACGCUGAGGAGCGAAAGCCAGGGGAGCAAACGGG